Molecule: ribosomal RNA, 253 nt
Filed under: uncultured bacterium
Lineage: Bacteria
Description: partial 16S ribosomal RNA
Rfam family: Bacterial small subunit ribosomal RNA
Source: RNAcentral
UACGGGGGGGGCAAGCGUUGUUCGGAAUUACUGGGCGUAAAGGGCUCGUAGGCGGCCAACUAAGUCGGAUGUGAAAUCCCCAGGCUCAACUUGGGAACUGCAUCCGAUACUGGAUGGCUUGAAUCCGGGAGAGGGAUGCAGAAUUCCUGGUGUAGCGGUGAAAUGCGCAGAUAUCAGGAGGAACACCGGUGGCGAAGGCGGGACUCUGGGCCGAUACUGACGCUGAGGAGCGAAAGCGUGGGGAGCAAACAGG